AGCGCAGGCGGGAAGACAAGUUGGAAGUGAAAACCAUGGGCUCAACCCCAUGAAUUGCUUUCAAAACUGUUUUUCUUGAGUAGUGCAGAGGUAGAUGGAAUUCCCGGUGUAGCGGUGGAAUGCGUAGAUAUCGGGAGGAACACCAGUGGCGAAGGCGGGUCUACUGGGCACCAACUGACGCUGAGGCUCGAAAGCAUGGGUAGCAAACA
This 209-nucleotide ribosomal RNA is filed under the name uncultured bacterium. Its description in RNAcentral is "partial 16S ribosomal RNA". It matches the Rfam family "Bacterial small subunit ribosomal RNA", at positions 568 to 774 of the family's 1533-position model. The record is from RNAcentral.